RNAcentral lists this ribosomal RNA (459 nucleotides) under uncultured bacterium. RNAcentral's name for it is "partial 16S ribosomal RNA". It matches the Rfam family "Bacterial small subunit ribosomal RNA", at positions 338 to 794 of the family's 1533-position model. The record is from RNAcentral.
CCUACGAGUGGCAGCAGUGAGGAAUAUUGGUCAAUGGGCGGAAGCCUGAACCAGCCAAGUCGCGUGAGGGAAUAAGGCCCUACGGGUCGUAAACCUCUUUUUCCGGGGAGCAAGGGCCGGGACGCGUCCCGGCCCGGAGAGUACCCGGAGAAAAAGAAUCGGCUAACUCCGUGCCAGCAGCCGCGGUAAUACGGAGGAUGCGAGCGUUAUCCGGUUUUAUUGGGUUUAAAGGGUGCGUGUGCGGGCUUUUAAGUCAGCGGUAAAAAUUCGGGGCUCAACCCCGCCCGGCCGGUGAAACUGGGGGCCUUGAGUGGGCGGGAAGAAGGCGGAAUGCGUGGUGUAGCGGUGAAAUGCAUAGAUAUCACGCAGAACCCCGAUUGCGAAGGCAGCCUUCCGGCGCCCUACUGACGCUGAGGCACGAAAGUGCGGGGAUCGAACAGGAUUAGAUACCCCUGUAGC